GCCCCGGUAGCUCAAUUGGAUAGAGCAGGUCCGUCCUAAGGACAAGGUUGGUGGUUCAAGUCCGCCCCGGGGCG
Molecule: transfer RNA, 74 nt
Filed under: Elusimicrobia bacterium RIFCSPLOWO2_01_FULL_54_10
Lineage: Bacteria; Pseudomonadati; Elusimicrobiota
Description: tRNA-Arg
Rfam family: tRNA
About the family: Transfer RNA (tRNA) molecules are approximately 80 nucleotides in length. Their secondary structure includes four short double-helical elements and three loops (D, anti-codon, and T loops).
Source: RNAcentral